GGCGUCUUAGCCAAGUGGUAAGGCGUAGGUCUGCAACACCUUGAUGCGUCGGUUCAAAUCCGACAGACGCCU
Molecule: transfer RNA, 72 nt
Filed under: Lachnospiraceae bacterium
Lineage: Bacteria; Bacillati; Bacillota; Clostridia; Lachnospirales; Lachnospiraceae
Description: tRNA-Cys
Rfam family: tRNA
About the family: Transfer RNA (tRNA) molecules are approximately 80 nucleotides in length. Their secondary structure includes four short double-helical elements and three loops (D, anti-codon, and T loops).
Source: RNAcentral